GACGAACGCUGGCGGCGUGCUUAACACAUGCAAGUCGAACGAAAAGAGGGAAAGAGCUUGCUCUUUCCGGAAUUGAGUGGCAAACGGGUGAGUUACACGUAAACAACCUGCCUUCAGGAUGGGGACAACAGACGGAAACGACUGCUAAUACCGAAUAAGUUCCAAGGGCCGCAUGGCCCAUGGAAGAAAAGGUGGCCUCUACCUGUAAGCUAUCGCCUGAAGAGGGGUUUGCGUCUGAUUAGCUGGUUGGAGGGGUAACGGCCCACCAAGGCGACGAUCAGUAGCCGGUCUGAGAGGAUGAACGGCCACACUGGAACUGAGACACGGUCCAGACUCCUACGGGAGGCAGCAGUGGGGAAUCUUCCGCAAUGGGCGAAAGCCUGACGGAGCAACGCCGCGUGAGUGAUGACGGCCUUCGGGUUGUAAAACUCUGUGAUCCGGGACGAAAAGGCAGAGUGCGAAGAACAAACUGCAUUGACGGUACCGGAAAAGCAAGCCACGGCUAACUACGUG
RNAcentral lists this ribosomal RNA (513 nucleotides) under uncultured bacterium. RNAcentral describes it as "partial 16S ribosomal RNA". It matches the Rfam family "Bacterial small subunit ribosomal RNA", at positions 28 to 507 of the family's 1533-position model. The record is from RNAcentral.